UUGGGGUUCCACCAUAUGAUGCUCAUGUUAAGGAUCGCUCCUGACAUGCAACUAUUGGUCAUACCACCUCCUAUCUCAAGUUACUCACCAAAGUCCGGGUUAGAACUUUAUCUCAUCACAGAGGAACCAUCGAGCACCAAAAAGAAAAAAGAAAAUAAACAAACAAAGCACACAAUAAUAUAUACAAAUACAAAACACACAGAUAAACAAAAAUAGGUUUAACACACUUAAAACUGGAUCCCCAGUGAAGUCGCCAUUUUUCUGUAGCGGGGAAAAUCUGAGAUCAAAGCCAUAAAUUGACUCGACUCAAUAUUUCAGUGAAAGUCGCCACCGCGCUUUAUUGUUUCCAAAGGAAAUGGGAAAAGAACGAAAAAACCCAAAGUUUGUUUUUAAAACAAAAAGAGAUCUUAGGAACGGGUGUUGAUUAUACAAGGGGAAGGUUUUAAGCACCCCUCAUAUCUGUGGUACUCCACAGGAACCUUUUUGAAAAUCUGUGUUUUAUAAAAGAUAUCGUGUGCAAGAGAAAUAGUUUGUUUGAUUUUUAAAAUAAGCUCGGCAAGACUAUGUCUUGUGCCUACAUACCUCCUCGGUGCAAUGGAGAAGUCAGAGCUAAUGUAGUUCCGCUUUUAAAAAACGUUUGAAAAAGGUAUAAACACAUUUACCAUCGUCGGGGCGAAUACUCAGCCAUUGAUCUUAAACAUGAGAACGAACGAGUUCUUUGCAUCACUAAUGAGAGAAGGGCGCCAACUUGGAUAAAAUCGACAAGUAUGCCACUAGCUCUCUCACGUGGAAAAGAUUUCAUCGUGUCAAUCAAUAUUAAAAUCGUGGGGCAUCGCAACUAAUGACAAUGAUUAAUUGUGCUUACUUUUUUGAAAGAAAAUGCCAACAAGGGCUAAAUAUAGUUUUUAAAGAAGAUUUUAAAAGGGAUUUCAAACAUAAGAAGUUUUUUUAGAAAAAGAGAGGAGACUUUGAAAAUUUAAGAAGUGGGAGGAGAUGAAGAGGCUAUCCUAGUGCGAGAAAAUAAAAGUUUAGGGAAAAACGAUCUGACCAAAAUAAGAAGUCGACACUUGACACAUUGAGUCAAGGAAGAAUUCCCAUCCUUUGGACUACCCACACAAAACCAAAAUUACCACUUAGGGACCAAAAUGAACUUGCAAAUCUUCGAAGAAUCACAUAAGUUUCUGACAGAAAUCGGACAGAGUAACGGUUGCAAAUGGGCGAAAUCCUUAUCUUAGUGCUUUGGAAUUAACCUUCAAAGACUUUUCGAGGAGAUACCUACACACAUCACAACAGCAAUCCAACCAGACAAAAUAACAAGCAAGAUAACAGUCAAAUAAUGAUACACAGUCCAUUGGUCCUUAAGUGUUUUUUAGGUUUCAUCUUGUUUAUUAAUGUUUUAGCAUAAAAGUAAAGUAUAGUCCAAGUGGACAAAAGAAAAAUAGCGGAGAAUAAAUAUGACGUCCAAAUGGACAAAAUAAAAAUAGCAGAAAGUAAAUAUGAUGAUAUGAUGAGUAUAAGAGCGGUAAAUAUAAAGGACAAUAUAAUAAAAAUGCGGAAAUUAAAAUUAGUCGUUAGUUGUUAAAGAUAACCAUCUUGAAACUUGUCAAGUAUGUUAUCAAAGUUAGUAAAUAAAGAUUAAUAAUGGAGGAAGGAUGAAUUCGGAUUUAAAUCAACCACAUACAACUUCCUUUUCAUUUUUAAUCUUUUAUCGAUUCGGGUCAAAGAAAGAAAAGGAAAGAUAGAUGAAGAAAAAGAGCAAAAAUAACAUAAUAAACUAAUAAUUAAAAAAACGCAAGGUGUAAAAUAAUAAGACAUAUUUUUGUGAAUUUUUUCAUAAUUUUGGACUAAAAACAAGAUUAAUAUGAAUUUUUGAAGUUAAAAACUAAUCAAAAUAAAAAUAGUAACAUAAAAUAAAGCAGAAUAAAUUCCAGCCAUCGGAUUUAGUCAAUUGACUAAUUUUAUGUAGGAUCUAAGAUCCAGAACUAAGGUGUAUAGUAAAAAUACAAACAAGUGUGUAGAGAAUCCCAUUUAGAUCAUCUUCUCAGGUGACGACAAGUGUCUCCGGUGCCACUUGUCAUUCAUCGAUGCAUCACAUAGAUCCCAAAAUAAAUGUAAUAAAAAAAUUAAAAAAAAAGAAAUGAGAUGAAGAUGAUGUCAAGAGAGAAAAUAUACAGAAUUCUUUUAUCAAUUUCUUCCACUUUUCAAUGUCAACAUCGGUACAGUAUUUUGUACUAUCAUUAAUGUACCCAAGACUAAAAUAAAGUGGAGAAAUGAUAUUGAAGAGAGAGAGAUAUCAGUAAAAACAAAACUCCAUGUUUCCAUAAACUUCUUUUUUUCAUUUUCAAUAAAACUCCAUCAUUCAUCUUUAAUAUCACACUUUCUCUUCUCUCUCAUAAAACACAAACAAACCACAUGCAUAUUAAAAAAAAAAAAAAAAAGUAAAAGAAGUCUAGUAAAAACCACACAAUAAGAUUAGAGGCGGAGAGACACCGAGAAUGGCGGACGGAACUCCUCCGGCACGGUGGCCGGAGGUGAAAAUUUUCAGAACUCGAAAAUUUUACAUCAUCCCGUUCGGUUUUCUCUCCUCAGUUCAAAUAUCAGUGCAGGUAACACGAAAGUAAAGAUGGAUUCGGUAUCAGAAGAGACUUCUCAACCUUUUGAAGCAAAGAAAUCAAGUAACAGUGGCGGUUGAGAGCUCCGGCACGGUGGCUCUGUGUUUUCCGGCGAGGGAGGUCGACUUCCGGCGGUGAUUUAUGAGCUCAGGUGAAUUUAUGAUUUGUUCUGAUUUUGUCAGUCUGAAAAGUUCUGAAAAAGAGGUCCCCUGUGUCAGUGUGAGUCAAUGCUUUUAUAAUGUAGAAAUUAUGAACAAAAUGGGCUCAGGUAUGAUUUUGAUGAACUGUAAUUUUCCUCCUUGAGCCCAAUCCGAACAUCCUUUUCUAUUUCUCAUUUUCAGCUUUGUUUUAAUGUUCUUGAGAUGUUGUUUGAACAUGUUCUUGGGCCUGGAUUUAACUUUGAAUUUGAAUUACUUGUUGGUGUGAAUGAAAAUUUACCACGGUAACUUCACUUUGUACCAUUAUUUUUCAUGAAUGCUUGUGUAUGAUUUUUGAUUGCAUCUUAAUUCUCUUCUUUGCAUAUGAUGAGCACCAUUGACAUGAAGAUGGAGGGAAAAGCCUUGGAGAGACUAUGGUGAACUCGAAGCCCAAACAUGAAGUUUGAAAGAAAAUGGUGGACUUAUGAAGUGACUUCAAUCUUGAUCACACAAAACUUUGAAUUCUUGUAGAAUAAAAUGUAGAAAUUGAAUUCUUGCAACCAUAAUGAUGUAAUCUUGGAUUGUCAUGAAUUAGAUCUUUGUAUGAGAUGAAGACUUUUGCUUUGAAUUUUGUAAUCUUUGAUGUAUCGUUGGCUUGAAACUUUAGGAAUUUAAUUCCUCUUAAAUGAAUGUACCUUUUAAGUUCAUGUAAAAACAAAUCUUGGAUCAUGAGUGCUAA
Long non-coding RNA from Vicia villosa (hairy vetch), 3488 nucleotides. RefSeq lists it as uncharacterized. The record is from RefSeq and is a predicted model, not a curated record. The transcript has 2 exons. NCBI's taxonomy places the organism in Eukaryota, Viridiplantae, Streptophyta, Magnoliopsida, Fabales, Fabaceae.